ACAGCAGCAGGACAACCCAGGCUUUGUCCUCGCCCCAGAGAGCAGACUGACUGUCCACAUACCAGAGACAGAGAGAGGAAGAGUCGGAGAGGAGGGAGAGAGCGAGAAAGAGUGGGAGAGAAUUAUAUAGUAACAGGGAGAUAAUUGGGGGAGAGAACGCUGAGGAUCUAAAUAUCAGUUGAUUUAUGCUCUCCAACUGUUUUUAAUCUGUACCUUCCCGCACAAGUCCCUUGGAAUGUCCAGACACUGCCACGACCAAGGAUUCCACGGGUCACCAUGGAGACCAAGGAUUCCUGAGGUCUAGGGCAGGGCAGUCCCAGCCCCCUGAAACAUGAAGAAAAAGGGGCCAGAGAGAAAACAGCACAGAGGAGAGAAUCUGUUCCAACAUGCAGAGCGAGAGAAAAACAGGGAGAAAGAAAGAAUUCCACUAAUCGCAAUCCAAAACCUCACCCCGCCCCUCCCUUACCCUGCAGUUACUCCUCCCUCUCCCUCCCAAAACCCACCCUAACCCUUCCCUAUUUCUCCCCCAAAAAAUCUACGUUCCUCCCUCAAGUCAUCCCAGCCAAACCCAACCCUACUCCUCCCUGUCCAUCUCACCCUUUCUCUCUCACCUCUCUCUCCCUCACAUGUCGACACAAACACACAAUUCUCCUCAAACACGAUGGCUGAGCUUUGGCUCCUGUCCUCCCCAGAGACGCAUCAUGUUGACGGGUUUAUUCCCCUGGCGGGCCAGUGAUUCUGAGCGCAACACCGUAGUGCUGCGUGUCACAGUCCAAACCUCGAUCCACAAGUCUGCCAGAUGCAGCACAGCAACCUUUUUAUUUACCUAACUUAUUCACAGGAACUGACUGUACAGGGACACGACUAUUACUCUCUGAGAAAUACAGCGAAGUAGAAAACCCCACCCUGUUGUCUUAUCCAAACGAGAUAACAUGCCGCACAUUACUGAGGAAAACAGUUGACCAGAAGAAAAUGUUGGAAAUGAAAACGUUGUGGUGUGUGUUCUCCCCAAAAACCACAUACUAUGUUAAAGUUUGCCAAAUUGUUCUGUUAAGGAAGUUUGUUUUUAUUGUUGUGCGUAUGGUGUGUGAUCUGAGGUAACAUCUAGAAUGGUGUGUUGGUAUGUACUGUCUAUGCAGGUGUUAUUGUGGGGUAUAAUAUGUCCGUGUGAUGUAUCUGUAUGCUGUAUGUUUUUAGUUACAUUUGCUGUGCUUGUAAAAUUGAAUAAUUGAACCUCACAUGACAGAUUUAUUGAAUGUUGU
Long non-coding RNA from Oncorhynchus mykiss (rainbow trout), 1262 nucleotides. RefSeq lists it as uncharacterized. The record is from RefSeq and is a predicted model, not a curated record. NCBI's taxonomy places the organism in Eukaryota, Metazoa, Chordata, Actinopteri, Salmoniformes, Salmonidae.